RNAcentral lists this ribosomal RNA (359 nucleotides) under uncultured bacterium. Its description in RNAcentral is "partial 16S ribosomal RNA". It matches the Rfam family "Bacterial small subunit ribosomal RNA", at positions 338 to 708 of the family's 1533-position model. The record is from RNAcentral.
CCUACGGGAGGCAGCAGUCGAGAAUCAUUCACAAUGGGCGAAACCCUGAUCGUGCGACGUAGCGUGGAGGAUUGAAGGCCUUCGGAUUGUAAACCUCUGUUAUGUGGGAGUAAAGUAAAAAGAUAGUACCUUAAGAGAAAGAGAUGGCGAACUCGGUGCCAGCAGCCGCGGUAAUACAGCGGUGUUAAGCGUUGUUAGCAUUCACUGGGCGUAAAGGGUGCGUAGACGGUUUCGUAAGUCAUGUGUGAAAGGUGGGGGCUCAACCGGAGAAGGGCAAAUGAUACUGGGAGACUAGAGUAAUGGAGAGGGAGGCGGAAUUCGCGGUGUAGCAGUGAAAUGCGUAGAUAUCGAGAAGAACA